Molecule: non-coding RNA, 7454 nt
Organism: Rattus norvegicus (Norway rat)
Lineage: Eukaryota; Metazoa; Chordata; Mammalia; Rodentia; Muridae
Source: RefSeq, a predicted model, not a curated record
UGCUAGGCAAGCGCUCUACCACUGAGCUAAAUCCCCAACCCCGUGUAUCAGUUCUUUUGCUUCUCUUCCUGUUGAUGCAAAACUGUGUUCCAGUGGAUCCGUAGAACCCACAGUUCCGGCAGUGGCGCAUGGUUCUAGCAGUGCACGUUGAAAGAGAUGCCGAACAAACCGGUAGUUAUGGCCGCUGAGUAGGACAGUUAGACCUGCAGGUUCCUUUUUUUCUGGGCGAAGAAACAGUGCAAGCAAAAAGAGAAUGUGAAAGAAGUGUCGGAGGAACUUAAGAUGGUACUGUAUGAUGUUGAGAAUUUACCCGAUGAUUUCCAGGACGCUGUGAACCAUUGUGGGAAAGAAAGACACAGAGGAGGUGCUUCUUUAUUAUGAUCCAGGAAUCACAUGCAUCUGUCAGCUUUUUCCAUGCAACUGUCGUGUUUGCUGGCAAGUGCUUGAAAACUCAGAUAUUCUGUGGUUUCUCAGUGAGAUACACCAUUUCAGGUAAAUUCCCCCUGUUUAAGGUGAAUGAGCACACCUACCCCACCCCAGGCAUGUUGUGAAAUAGUUCAUCAACUCCAGUGUGCGCAAGAACAGAAUACUGUGUAUAAGAGGGAUGAUAACAGACGUCAGGAUGAGGCUCCAACUUUCUUGUCUCAGGGACUUAAAUAAAUUCUUAGGGAACUUUACAGAAUAUAGCUCUGUAUAAUCGAGGUAUCUUAUUUUCUAGAAAUACUGCAGCAAAGAACAGCUGUUAUAAUGGCCUGAACCACAGGAAUUUUUUCUUAGUUUUGAAUACUUAAUGUCCUAGAUCUGGGCAUCAGCAGAAUCAGUCCUGUUCUCAAACCCAUAAAGGAAGAGUCCGUUUCAAGUUACUUUAUUGGCUUGUAGAGAAUGUCUUCUUCCUGUGUCUGUUCACGUUUUCUCCCUGACUUCUUAUUUCUGUCCAGAUUCACCCUUUUAAAAAGACACAUUGUCUUGGACAAAACUCACCAGAAUGACAUCAUCUUGCCUAACUAGCUACACGUACACAUCCAUAUCCACUAUGACACUGUUUCCCAAUAUUCUACGGUGUGGACAUGAGCAGAAUUCAGGUGUUCAUUCAAUGACAUUUCAAAAUACCCAGGCAGGACAGAACUAAUCCCUAAGAAGCAUUUGACCUGUGAAGAAGUUUGGGUCCAAUGAACCACCAACUUCUCCAUUCUUUGCAGCUGACUCAGGAGGUCCUUGAGCUAAAGCUCCAGGCCUUCCUCAUGGGAUAGCGCAGGACUAAAAGAUGUACUGAGUGAUGGAUUCGGGGUUUACAUGAUUCUGAGACACCAGGACCGUACUGUCAUUGUCUAUCUAUGUGCUGUACAUGGAUGCAGAGAUAUACAAAUACUUAAGAUUGAGGAGUUGGAUGAGAAGUUCUAUGAAGACAAUGUGGAUGCCUUUCUCUGAAAUUCUGUAACUGCAGCCCAUGCAACGUAUUAAAGAAUAGAAAUACCACUUUCACGAAGCAAAGAAAAAAAGAAAGUUUAUAUUCUACAUGUAUAUAUGUGUAUCAUAUCACUUUCUUCCCCAAAGAAUGAAAACUGAUUUCAUUCACACCAAUAUGUUAUUUUCAAUUUGAGUCUCAUCGACUUUCACUAGGAAAUGUUGUUAUUUGUUUUACAAAGUAAUGCAAAUAUAUAUAUGCCUAUUGGGAUUCUAGUUUGUACUCUGAUGAGAUUUGUUCCAAAGGCAAGUUAGUCAGAAACAUGUGGAUUAAGUAUUUGCUUCAAGUAUGCAAGAAUUUAAAGAAACAGAAGUUUUAGCAUUUGGCAAAAUUCUCGACAAAAGUUUCGAAAAGUUAUUUGGCUCAAGUUAUGACUGCCUCUGCCCAGCCCUCUAGGAGAGCAGCAUUUGAUGUGUCUGUAGAAGGGAGGAAAAACAAUAAAGGUCAAUGCCGCUGUAUCUGCAGCAGGCGUGUCAGUUGGAGUUCACUAUUCUGCCAGGAGGACACAUUAUAUAUGUAUGCGUUGACAAAAAAGAAGACGCGUUCAAACUUCAGUAGCAAAGAUAUAAACUUGCUUUGGUCCUAGAGGUGCUUACACACAGAACACAGUAUAUUCUUUCAAUCAUACAUUUUUGGAAUGGGAACAGUGAAGAUUUUCACGUCCAUGGAGAACCCAUUUGCACGCCUUGUGGGGCUGGCAAAUGUGCCAAGCCUGCUACUAUGAAACAAUUGACAGGAAGCGUGGGGGGGGGGGAAAGCAAUCAUUUUGAUGGCAAGUUAAAAUCUCUGAAGUCCCCAGAUUGCUUCCUCUUUAGGGGCAGUGUAAACAGUAGGAAAUCAUGGCCUUGAAUGGAAAGCAAGCCCGACAGAUGUUGCCCAACAAGGAAGACUGGCUGUGGGAAUAGGCACCACGGCUGGUUGCCUGUGUGUUGAGGUAUAGGGGGUUCUGGCUGCUUAUAGUCAUACCCCACUUGGUCCAUCCUAAAUGAUCCUUCUUCCGAAAAGGUCACAGUUUAAAGUCAUAUUAAGCCAAACCUUUAAACAUCCCAGCUAAUGAUUUACCACAUAACGAUUCAAGAAAGCACAGGUGUUCCCAGCCUACCCUAGCGAAACCUGCCCCACAGGUUUGCCAAGAUGUGGUCUGGAUAUAAGUGUGUUUACCCAGAAUCCUCGGUAGCGGAAGUAGAUUCAAGGGCUGAAGUGUAAAGGCCAGGGAUUAGCUGAGAAACACUGGUAACAAUCCAUUGUCUUCCAUUUGGAGGCUUAUACCUUUCAACCUCAUACUCUAAAGUUCACUAGCAUGUUUGAGUUUCACAAUUCCCCGGAUUCCUGGCUGGUUAGCUGUCUUAGUAUAGAGUGUUCAGAUGAUUCACUAGGAUGUUUGCUUGGCAACUGUGUUGCCACUCAAAAUAUUCUAUUCAUUUCUCACCUCUAAAGUUUGUGCAUUUACAGGAGAAUUGUGGUAUCAAUUUCAGUUAAGAAUUUAAUGGAGAGAUUCAUUCAUUUCCAACUUCAAGUGAAGUUUUCUCUUUCUUAUAUAUUUUACCUAAUCUUUACUCUUAGAAAAAUAUCUAUUUUCUACCGCUCUCUCUUCAACUUGACAUCUGCUUUGUGGUCGUAUCACAUGAUUAUUUUUGGCUGAGAACCAAGUGAGGAGUUUGUUCAGAACACUGUAUUCAGAAACCCAAAGCAUUUGUCACAGACUGGGACAGGGAACAAAGCCAUUCCUAGAUACAAGAGCUGUCUAUACCGGUAAUGACCAGCAAGGGAUCUCUUGUUGCCUCUUUGAUAUCUGAGGAGUUCAUCUGUUUUUUUAUUCUCUCUCUCUCUCUCUCUCUCUCUCUCUCUCUCUCUCUCUCUCUCUCUCUUUCUCUCUGCAUACUCAUGUGUCUGUGUGUGCCCACAAGUCCAUGUCUGAUCUCAUUUUAAGUUACUCUCCUACACUCUACUUUUGAAGACAAGAUAUGUUUCUACUCCUAGAGCUCAACCUUUAUGACUAGAAUAUGUGGUUAGUAAAUCCCAGUUAUCCCCUGUCUCCAUCAACCAGCACCAUGAUUAUGGGAACACACAAUGAUGCCAGGCUUGCUUUUUUUUUUAUUUUUAGUUAAAUUAAAUUUAGUGUGUUUGGGGUGGUGCACAUGCCAUGUUGAGGACAGAGGACAACUUUCAGGAAUUGUUCUCCUCUUACACUUCAGCAUCCAGGGGCCUAGCUUAGGUCAUCAGGCUUGUGUAUCAGCCACUUUUACCCAGUCAGUUGUCUUGCCAUGCUCAAGAUUGCCUUUAUAUUGCUUUUUGGGAUUCAACUUAGACCUUCAUGAUUACACAACAAUGACUGUACAAUUCCAUCAAAAAUCCUUUCUUCUCUCAUUGGAAAUGUUAUUUUUAAUGUUAUUUGUUGAUUAUGCAAAAUGUAGAGAUUGGAAAAUAUAAAUGAAAGGAACUCUAUGGAUCCCACAGCUGUACAGGCUUCCACCUGAGCAAGAGUUGAUUAAGGGCAGAGUUUGAGUGCUGAUAGGACAUAGCUUGAUGGAAUGAGAGAACAUCCUCUCUGGAACUGGAGCAAUGGCUCCCAAUAGGAUGGGGUUUCUAAAUUCCAGGAGCAUCUCCUGUCCAUUUUGAGCCUGAACUGUUCAGUAAAGGAUUCUUCCACAGACCUCGGAGUCCUGGUUGGUUUGGAUGAAGUAAUGUAUUGCAUCUGAUGGAUUUCAGUUCUGAGGUCUUGUGAAGGGUGCUUAAAUUAAAGCAUGAUACUACUGCUCUAAUUGCAAAUUCUGAUGUUACUUCUUUGAAACUCAGAAUCAUCUCUAGCUUGUUUCAAGGAUGGAUAUAAUAAAAGCAAGCCCACUUUGUAAAUCCAAAAUAUGCUAAAAGUGUUACAAAUAUAUUAGAAUAUCGAAAUAUUAAAAACAUAAAUAUACGAGAAAGAGCACACAGUGAGUUCAUUGAUGAUUCUGUUUUCCACAGAUGUAAUAAGUAAUAUAUUAAAAAACAGAAAUGAUCUACUGUAACAUUUUCUUAUUCGGGAUGAGUUAAAAAACAAAUUUCUAUUUUUAUACCUUUUAAUAAAACAAAUUAUAUUUUUCAGUAAAGUAUUAGAAGCCAGCAAGAUCAUUGAGUGGUUAAGAACUCUGCUGAUCUGGCAGAGGACGCAGGGUUGGUUCCGAGUACCCACACUGAGUAGCUCACAGCACCCCUCAUCCCCAGCUCCAGAUAUCUGAUGCUUCCGGUUUCUGCAGAACUCAUGUGCACGUCCCACCAGAAAAGGCAUAUACAUAGAAUUAAAAAAUUGAUUUUGGAAAGUUUGAUGUUUUCAGAAUGACCACGUGUACAUUAAAGAUAGUUACUAGUAGGACACAUGAAUCAGAAGUAUUUGAUAGACGCUGAGAGGUUUUAGCUAUAAUUUAAUUUAGUUGUUCCUUUGCCAUUUUGUUGACGUUAAACACCUUAAGAUUUUGUUGUUGUUGCUGCUGUUGUUGUUUAGAGAGAAUGACCGACUGUGUGUCUCAUGGGAAAGACAUGGUAUUCAUCCAAAUAAGGACACUAAAGGAAUAAAGAAUGUAUUUCUACUCCUGGGAAGAGCCUAAACCAUAUGCCUUAGGUUUACCCAAUCACAUCCUCACUGAAGAAAUUCAGCCUUAAAUGUUCCCACUAAAUUGAAGGCUCAUAAAUUCUUCUGUAGACUCAUCCGCACUGAAAGUGGCUUUGUGAACCCAGCCACCUCAGGGAGUGUUUACAGCAGAAUGGCCACCUCUGUAGCUCCUGAUGUGUGAGAUAGACUUCCAGAGCCAGGCCUUGGUGAGUUUCCCUUUUAUCUUUCCUUUUUAUUGGCCUGUUUAUUCAAACUUUCAGGUCUCCUUCAAUCCUGAGAAUGACUUGAUGUCAACCCAACUUAUCUCUUGUUUUCUUAAGUUCUUGGAUCUGCUCUGUUGCUUGCAACAAACCUGAUCACACCUACACUCCUUUAUGCACACAACAUCUGCUGGUGUUUUUAUCUACAUAACCACUUAUCUUGUAUGAGCUUCAUGAUCUACUCUAUGUUUAUUUUAAAUCACUAUCGUUGCAAUUUACCAAUGAAAGCUUACAAAACAAAUUAUGACAUUCACUGAAUCUCAGUACGUCUGAAGGAUCACAGAACGUAAAGGAGCUACUUAUAAAUUAUGCUUUAAUUUAGGUAAAUAUAUCUAUAAAUAAUAUUAUGACCUUUAGCAAAAAUAUGUAGCUUUGAUUGGAAAUAAAUUGAGUAAGAAAGAGUCAGCCGGUAAAGAAAAUUACUGCCAAGUUGAUCAGUUCAGUUCUGUCUCCAAGACCCACAGGAUAGAAGGAGAGAACCAAUUCUUGAAAGUUGUUUUCUGGUCUAUAUUAACAUAUAAACACAUGUGUACACAGAGGGCAUGCAUGGGCAAGUGUAAGCAUGGAUGUGCAUACUAAGUAAAUAAAUAAAUCAAUAAAUCAAUAAAAAGAAAGAAUAAGUAAAUACAAUAAAUUAUUUUUAAACAGAAGCUAAAAGUAGCUGAACAGAGUCUACAAGGAUACUUGCUGUAGAAUUUCUAAAUAUUUUAGACUUGAAUAGUUUUAAAAAGUGGAUCAUAUUGAGCAGAUAUUACGACUUUGUGUGUGGAGGUAUGUGUGGGCUUGUGUGUGAAGGUAGGUGCAUAUUUUUGUGUAUGGGGCUGUGCAAGUACAUAUAAAGUUUGGGAACGAUAAUGCAGAAGUCAGAGUUCAGCCUUUUGUGUGGUUCCACUGGAACAGUUUAUCAUCAUUUCUGAAGCUAAGUCUCUUCUUGGGACUUGAAACUCCUUGGUUGUGCUACCUGUUUAUUAAGUCCUAAGAAUCUGUCUACUCCAAUGCUACCAGCACUAGGACUACAACUGCCUUCAAGCUUAGCUUGCUAUGUAAGUGCUGGGGAAAAAACUCAAGCUUUCAAGUAACAAAGUACUUACUAACCUAAUUGUUUGUUAGUGUUGAAAAGUACUAAUAGUUUUAGAUAUUUUUAAUGAUUUUAUGUUUUGGCUCACAUUUCAAUUUUCAAAUUAGGAAAUACAUAAAAAUAAUUGAAUAUUUGGCUAUUGGAGAACAACUUAUUAAUAAAAUAAUAUUAACCAACAAUAUUUUAAUAAGAAGGUUCAUAGCUGAGACACUUUACAUUUCUCCUUUUAUUCAAAAGCUGCUUGCCUUCACUCAAUCAUCUUAUGCCUCUGAAAAUUAUAUGGUUGCUUAUGUGACAAAAACCAUGAAUUGUAACAAUAACAUUUCCUGUUAUUUAAAGAUUAAGUGAAUUAAUAUUAUUGAGUCUAUAUUCUAGGUUGUUUAUUAUUGUACUAAUUGUGCCUUCCAUAUGUUGUAAAAAUUUUCAAAUGUUAAAGUCUUGUGAAUUUAUAAUGAGGAUAUUGCUAUCUGUAUCCUUAUAAAAUAGAAUAGGAAUAUUUUACUUCACUGUCUUUUUCUUAAUACAUUAUUGAUGAUUUUCUUUUGAGAUUAAACAUAAUUCUGUUUCCAGUACUUUGGAUUAAUUUUUCAUUAGCAAGAACUGACACCUGACGUUUAUGUUACAAAUAGGUAACAGAAUUCACAGGCCACUGAUUCCACUUUGAUGUCAAAUUUAUCAACAGAAAAAAAUCCUCUUUGGCUGAAUCUAGGAAAAGAAAAUGUUCAUAAGGGUGGUGAGUUUCCUAAGAAAAGACAGACGAAGCGGGGAAUUUAUUUCAGUUCCAAUUCUGAUCAUGUUUCUUUGUUUACUUGGGAGAUUUUCUUUGUGAUCCUGAAAGGGCUGUGGUUAUUCACUUUAAAGGGUAAGUAGACUUAAUGAAUCUCAUGUUUCUCCUCAGUCCAUGUGUUCCUGUGAUGAGACACACAAGCAGGUGUUUUCCAAACUGAAAAUUGCUCUGUUUUCCAAGAUAUAUUAAGAUUGAUGGUGGAUAAUACAUUUAAUUCAACUGCACACAAAUGGUUCAUUGGAAAGAGCUGAUAAGUGAGGGCAUGGCAAGGACAU